CCUACGGGAGGCAGCAGUGGGGAAUAUUGGACAAUGGGCGCAAGCCUGAUCCAGCCAUGCCGCGUGAGUGAUGAAGGCCCUAGGGUUGUAAAGCUCUUUCACCGGAGAAGAUAAUGACGGUAUCCGGAGAAGAAGCCCCGGCUAACUUCGUGCCAGCAGCCGCGGUAAUACGAAGGGGGCUAGCGUUGUUCGGAUUUACUGGGCGUAAAGCGCACGUAGGCGGAUCGAUCAGUCAGGGGUGAAACUCCCAGAGCUCAACUCUGGAACUGCCUUUGAUACUGUCGAUCUGGAGUAUGGAAGAGGUGAGUGGAAUUCCGAGUGUAGAGGUGAAAUUGUAGAUAUUCGGAGGAACACCAGUGGCGAAGGCGGCUC
RNAcentral lists this ribosomal RNA (372 nucleotides) under uncultured bacterium. Its description in RNAcentral is "bacterial SSU rRNA". It matches the Rfam family "Bacterial small subunit ribosomal RNA", at positions 338 to 727 of the family's 1533-position model. The record is from RNAcentral.